UCCGAGUUGACCCCGGCAGUCUCCUACGAGUCCCCGGCAUGAUCCGCUGGCAACAUAGGAUAAGGGUUGCGCUCGUUGCGGGACUUAACCCAACAUCUCACGACACGAGCUGACGACAGCCAUGCACCACCUGUGCACUGGCCCCGAAGGGAGGCGCUAUUUCUAGCGCUUUCCAGUGCAUGUCAAGCCUUGGUAAGGUUCUUCGCGUUGUACACCUGAAC
RNAcentral lists this unclassified non-coding RNA (221 nucleotides) under uncultured Actinomycetes bacterium. RNAcentral describes it as "uncultured actinobacterium contains 16S-23S intergenic spacer region". Lineage: Bacteria; Bacillati; Actinomycetota; Actinomycetes. The record is from RNAcentral.